Long non-coding RNA from Mus musculus (house mouse), 1288 nucleotides. RefSeq annotates it as predicted gene 13070. The record is from RefSeq and is a predicted model, not a curated record. The transcript has 2 exons. Lineage: Eukaryota; Metazoa; Chordata; Mammalia; Rodentia; Muridae.
UUCUAGAAUGUUCUGAGUGGAACUAACCAUUGAUCUUACUCUCUGUGCUAAGCGGUCCUCACAGGAAGAGCCAUGGAACCUCACAGCCUUAUCCUUGUCCCCAUGAGGUACCUCUCCGAGUGACACAGAAGCUCUUGGUCUCUGUUCUCCAAACCCUGAGAAGCUGCUGUCUCCAUGAGGCCAGCGUUUCUGAGAGACAGUGUCACUUCUCUUUCAUGGUGUGACACUCCCCGAAGGGCGUCCUGGCAGGGGCAGGGUAGCCAGGCUCCCCAGAGCACUGCUUGAUCUGGGGGGCACUGAGAAGGAACCAUUGUGGCAAGGCAGCCAGAGAACAAGGAGGGAAGAGAGGACAGAUAUACCGAGAACUGGCCAGGAGUGGAGGGAGGCAGGAAGCGCGUAACAUGGCUACAAACAGAGCAACAGCAGACUCUAGGCCUGCUGUUCUCAGGGAACUGAUUCUCCCCCAGAGCCUCUGAGAGCUCCAACCCUGUUGACAGCUCGGUCUCAGACAUCUGGCCUCCUGAACUGUGACAGAUAGCAUCCUGCUUCCUCCAUCAGGCCUCAGGCCUUAACCCCGAUCCACCCAGAUGACUCCUGGCAAGGUCACUAGCAACCGUCUGGUUGCCAAGGCAGCUGUCUUGACCUGUCAUUACUUUGUCUUUCUUGAAACUCUCUCUGCCCUUGGCACUCAACACCAUCUCCUGGGACCCUCUGGACACAUGGCCUGCUUCUCCUGGGCCUCCUGCUUCCAACAGGGUCCAACCUCAGCUCUCAAACCUGGCUCUCCACAUCUCUCUGGGCACGCUCAUCACGGAGCCAGGCAGGGCUCAUGACAACAGGCCGCCCUCAGAUGUCCUGCUCAGGUUGUCGGGAAAGGGACACAUUUCAUCUUUGUCCUCCAAAGUCAACCGUAUAUAUCCAGGACCGUGGAGAAGAAAAAGCCACAGGUCUCGGCAUUGCCUGGCACUCAGGUAAGCUGGAGAGAGGGCGAGCCCUGAGUGCGUGUCGCUGACCAAGAAGUAUCUUGAUGUGACAUUCUGAGUCUAUCUGGACCCUAGCUGCUAUGACAGACUGCUGGUCAGUUUCUAACAACUUAUUCCCAUUCUCAUGGCCCCACUCAACCUCUUUAGAAUGUUCUGGAUCCCCUUUGAAGAAGAAGGGGGAAGCAGGUAUUCAUCUUCUUCUGCUUUUCAACUAGGGAUGUAAUAUGACCAGCUACCUCAUACCUCCCCCGCCAUGAUGGACUGCAUCCCUCAAACUGUGAGCCAGAAUAAACCAACCAACCUUC